AACGUAGGAGACAAACGUUAUCCGGAGUUACUGGGCGUAAAGGGCGUGUAGGCGGUUAGUUAAGUCUGGCGUGAAAGCUCUCGGCUAAACCGGGAGAGGUCGUUGGAUACUGGCUGACUAGAGGACGGUAGAGGAUAGUGGAAUUCCCAGUGUAGUGGUGAAAUACGUAGAGAUUGGGAAGAACACCAGUGGCGAAGGCGGCUAUCUGGACGGUUUCUGACGCUAAGACGCGAAAGCGUGGGGAGCAAACAGG
RNAcentral lists this ribosomal RNA (253 nucleotides) under uncultured bacterium. RNAcentral's name for it is "partial 16S ribosomal RNA". It matches the Rfam family "Bacterial small subunit ribosomal RNA", at positions 524 to 776 of the family's 1533-position model. The record is from RNAcentral.